RNAcentral lists this unclassified non-coding RNA (271 nucleotides) under Portunus trituberculatus (swimming crab). RNAcentral's name for it is "uncharacterized LOC123508234, transcript variant X1". Lineage: Eukaryota; Metazoa; Arthropoda; Malacostraca; Decapoda; Portunidae. The record is from RNAcentral.
GUUUGUGUGCGUGUGUGUGUGUGUAGUCACCACGAAGUACCUACAUGUGUACUGCUGCCCUACCUACUGUUGAUUAGGCACUCUAGGCUCUCCUUUGGUCUGCCUGCCGAAGAGGACAUGGCUUUCUCUGACGGCAGACCACUCUGAGGAACGAAGUGAAGGGCGCCGUGACCUCCAGCAGGGAAGACACUACCUGCAAGGACUGUCUGCAUCGCCUGGCUGAGCCAAUAAAGAACCAGUGCAGUUUGACGAACUGUUGUGACGGUGCACA